RNAcentral lists this ribosomal RNA (468 nucleotides) under uncultured bacterium. RNAcentral describes it as "partial 16S ribosomal RNA". It matches the Rfam family "Bacterial small subunit ribosomal RNA", at positions 28 to 507 of the family's 1533-position model. The record is from RNAcentral.
GAUGAACGCUGGCGGCGUGCUUAACACAUGCAAGUCGAACGGAAAGGCCAGUGCUUGCCCUGGACCUCGAGUGGCGAACGGGUGAGUAACACGUGGGUGAUCUGCCCUGUACUUCGGGAUAAGCUUGGGAAACUGGGUCUAAUACCGGAUAGGACAACUUUUUGGAUAUUGUUGUGGAAAGCUUUUGCGGUAUGGGAUGAGCUCGCGGCCUAUCAGCUUGUUGGUGGGGUGAUGGCCUACCAAGGCGUCGACGGGUAGCCGGCCUGAGAGGGUGUACGGCCACAGUGGGACUGAGAUACGGCCCAGACUCCUACGGGAGGCAGCAGUGGGGAAUAUUGCACAAUGGGCGCAAGCCUGAUGCAGCGACGCCGCGUGGGGGAUGAAGGCCUUCGGGUUGUAAACUCCUUUCGCUAGGGACGAAGCUUUUUUGUGACGGUACCUGGAGAAGAAGCACCGGCUAACUACGUG